CCACCUUCUUCUAACCCUGCACCACCUUUGAUUGGCCUAUCACUUAGGAUGCCUCUUGUAUGUUUAUAUGUUUGUUUUUUGCAUGCUUGCCUUAUGCAUCUAUGUGUUUCUUUUUGUAGAAGGAUAGGGUUUUCAAUAUUAUGUAAAAACUUUAAUUAUCAAUGCAAUGCUAUAUUUUAUGAAGAUGAUUGAAUGAGUACAUUCUUGUUUGAAAGAGUGAAUGACUAAUUAAUUGUCAUUGAAA
RNAcentral lists this long non-coding RNA (244 nucleotides) under Elaeis guineensis (African oil palm). Its description in RNAcentral is "long non-coding RNA (EGUI_LNC009403)". Lineage: Eukaryota; Viridiplantae; Streptophyta; Magnoliopsida; Arecales; Arecaceae. The record is from RNAcentral.